CAUUGAUUGACAGAAAAAGUGACCAAUCAAAAUAAAACAGCGUGACGUCAAAAGGAGGUGGACGCACGUCAAAAACUACACUCUUCUAAGGGUGCCACGCCCUCUAAGGCGGCCUUGACAGUCAUUGGUCUUCCUUUCCAAAAAAGCUGAUGGAGGUCAUGACAACAGGUUUUUUUAAGGAAUUUAAGGCAUGUUUUAUCUUUUCUUCCAGUUCUAUCUCCUACAUUCACCCUGUCACUGAGAUAAAUCUGUUGCCAUGGUCACAGCAGUCAUAUUUAUUUCCCUGAACCAGUUUCUGAUUGGUUUGGAAGUGGUUUUACAGUUCUUGCUCCGCCUGCUGGCUGUACAAAUCAACUUCACUUAAAUCAAGUAACUCUUUAUUUCUCAUUUCAUUCAGUUUUUGUCCACCAUGAUCCCAUUUUAUCAUAACACUGAGGUAAAAAAGUAAGAUGGAUUGCAAUCGAUGUGAUUGUGGAUCAGCAGAAACAUCAUCAAAGAGGAGUGUAUUCAUCUCCAGGUGAAAAAUGAAAGAUUUGCUUGGUUAGAAUCAGGCCUUUUGUUUUGCAGGAAUAGCAACCUUUCGGAAACACUGCAAAUGUGCUCCCAACUAACUCCAGAAAUGUCUGAAAGACAGCUGUUAACCCACAUUUUAAUUAGGGAGAGGUUAAAAAGAAAGUGGGUCAUGGAGUGAGGCAAAAAAUAGAAGAAAAAAAA
Molecule: long non-coding RNA, 714 nt
Organism: Oryzias melastigma (Indian medaka)
Lineage: Eukaryota; Metazoa; Chordata; Actinopteri; Beloniformes; Adrianichthyidae
Exons: 2
Source: RefSeq, a predicted model, not a curated record